Molecule: ribosomal RNA, 431 nt
Filed under: uncultured bacterium
Lineage: Bacteria
Description: partial 16S ribosomal RNA
Rfam family: Bacterial small subunit ribosomal RNA
Source: RNAcentral
AACGAACGCUGGCGGCAGGCCUAACACAUGCAAGUCGAGCGCCCCGCAAGGGGAGCGGCGGACGGGUGAGUAACGCGUGGGGAUAUGCCCUUUGCUACGGAAUAGUCUCGGGAAACUGGGGGUAAUACCGUAUACGCCCUUUGGGGGAAAGAUUUAUCGGCGAAGGAUUAGCCCGCGUUGGAUUAGGUAGUUGGUGGGGUAAUGGCCUACCAAGCCGACGAUCCAUAGCUGGUUUGAGAGGAUGAUCAGCCACACUGGGACUGAGACACGGCCCAGACUCCUACGGGAGGCAGCAGUGGGGAAUCUUAGACAAUGGGGGCAACCCUGAUCGAGCCAUGCCGCGUGAGUGAUGAAGGCCUUAGGGUUGUAAAGCUCUUUCAGCUGGGAAGAUAAUGACGGUACCAGCAGAAGAAGCCCCGGCUAACUCCGUG